Molecule: ribosomal RNA, 467 nt
Filed under: uncultured bacterium
Lineage: Bacteria
Description: partial 16S ribosomal RNA
Rfam family: Bacterial small subunit ribosomal RNA
Source: RNAcentral
GACGAACGCUGGCGGCGUGCUUAACACAUGCAAGACGAACGGAAAGGCCUCUUUCGGGGGGUACUCGAGUGGCGAACGGGUGAGUAACACGUGAGUAACCUGCCCUUGACUUUGGGAUAACUUCAGGAAACUGGGGCUAAUACCGGAUAGGAGCUCCUGCUGCAUGGUGGGGGUUGGAAAGUUUCGGCGGUUGGGGAUGGACUCGCGGCUUAUCAGCUUGUUGGUGGGGUAGUGGCUUACCAAGGCUUUGACGGGUAGCCGGCCUGAGAGGGUGACCGGCCACAUUGGGACUGAGAUACGGCCCAGACUCCUACGGGAGGCAGCAGUGGGGAAUAUUGCACAAUGGGUGGAAGCCUGAUGCAGCAACGCCGUGUGCGGGAUGACGGCCUUCGGGUUGUAAACCGCUUUCGCUCAUGACGAAGCUUUGUGUGACGGUAGUGGGUAAAGAAGCACCGGCUAACUACGUG